This is a long non-coding RNA of Lolium rigidum, 1223 nucleotides long. RefSeq lists it as uncharacterized. The record is from RefSeq and is a predicted model, not a curated record. The transcript has 4 exons. NCBI's taxonomy places the organism in Eukaryota, Viridiplantae, Streptophyta, Magnoliopsida, Poales, Poaceae.
GUGUGCUGCUUUCUCCAUUCCCCCACCUUUCCAACCUUCUCCUAUGUCAAUCUCGUCGGCGACGAGCCAGGCGUCGCGGGACAUGGGCCAGCGGCUAGAGGGGUGCACGCAUGAGGGCGUAGAAAUCCCAGCUCGCCGCCUCCAGCACCACCUAGUGACCACCGCUGCGCCAUGUCGUGACCUAGAUCGGGAGAUCUCGAUUCUGCCCCUGUGGACCGUCGCACGAUGGUGGAGACAUCGGGCGGCUGGAGGCUCCACCUCACGGCUAGCUGAGGACCGCGGCCGCUUCCUCGCGGCAACAAGACCCUGCUCGUCGUCGUGUGAGUCGCCGGAUUCGCGCUGGUAUUCCUGUGGCCCAGCGCCUCCAUGUUCGUCGGGGCCUAGGGCGGGAUCCCCAGCCUCCUCUCGUUGCCGCCGUCGCCGUCGCGCCUGGUUCCGCCCUGCGCCUGGAUUCCUACAACCUGAAGGAUUUCGGCGACGGCGGCGGGAACGGGCGGGCGGUGAACUCCCAAGCGUUCGAGCGCGUUGUCGAGGCCAUGGCGGGCUAGGGCAGGGGCAGUCUUGCCGCUCAGAUGGUGGCUCACGGGGCCGUUCAACUUGACCAGCCACGUGAUGAUGUUCCUCGCCGAAGGAACGGAGAUUCUCGCAUCGCGUUGACACUGGUGGCUCAAGAACGGCAGCCGGACCUGGAGGAGAUGGUCCCUGGUGGAGCAUCUGCUUUUACCAGAUCAAGCGCGGCAUCCUGUACCUAGAAGCGGUGGAUCCCACAUAGUGCAACCGGUAUCAUCUCGCUCACAGUGGUGGAGGAGGACAUGGCGCCUAGCUCGAGCCGGUGGCAGUGAGCACGACGCAUAGCUUGAGCCGAUCACGGUGCCUCUGACGCCCAAUGGGCGACAAAACCAAGAUUUUCUUUAACUUUUAUGUGUCUUUGGUCUUCUGAACAAGGGACUGAAAUCAGUGGCCAUUGAAAAAAAAUGAAGCAUCAGUUUGUGGAAGUACUUGCAAGUGGAACCAUGUUUGUGCAUAGAUGCUAAGUACUCCAUCCUAUCGCAUUUAAUCGACGCGGAGCUUGCCUAUGUGUACAUAUGUAUCUUAUUGUGCCGGCGUCGAUUAAUACCGAACGGAGGUAUUAGAUGUAGAUGUUGAGUUUCCAGCUGGUAUGUACAUUCAAAUUGACAAACCUGGUAUAUGUGAAGUUGUAUCUAUGAUACAACGAUGUUGUC